This is a long non-coding RNA of Thalassophryne amazonica, 158 nucleotides long. RefSeq lists it as uncharacterized. The record is from RefSeq and is a predicted model, not a curated record. The transcript is spliced from 3 exons. NCBI's taxonomy places the organism in Eukaryota, Metazoa, Chordata, Actinopteri, Batrachoidiformes, Batrachoididae.
AGUUUAAGCCAGAUUCAACCCGGAUUUCUUUCUAGCCAGAUUGCAUUCAGACUUGUUUUACAAAUCUGGCUCAUCCUACUAGGCUGCGUUCAGACUGGAGUUUGCAGUCUCCCUCAAGCCACAUCCUACACCAGAGUGGAAAGUUCUGUUCUGUGCUA